CAGUGGGGAAUAUUGGACAAUGGGCGCAAGCCUGAUCCAGCCAUGCCGCGUGGGUGAUGAAGGCCCUAGGGUUGUAAAGCCCUUUCAGCGGGGAAGAUAAUGACGGUACCCGCAGAAGAAGCCCCGGCUAACUUCGUGCCAGCAGCCGCGGUAAAACGUAGGAGACAAGCGUUAUCCGAAUUUACUGGGCGUAAAGCGCGUGCAGGUGGUGCGGUAAGUUGCCUGUGAAAUCUCCUGGCUCAACUGGGAGAGGCCGGGCAAGACUGCCGGACUAGAGGGCGGUAGAGGGAGGUGGAAUUCCCGGUGUAGUGGUGAAAUGCGUAGAUAUCGGGAGGAACACCUGUGGCGAAAGCGGCCUCCUGGACCGCACCUGACGCUCAGACGCGAAAGCUAGGGGAGUGAACGGGAUUAGAAACCCCGGUAAUCCUAGCUGUAAACGAUGUGGACUGGGUGUCGGCGGGGUAAAAGCCGUCGGUGCCGAAGCCAACGCGAUAAGUCCACCGCCUGGGGACUACGGCCGCAAGGUUA
Molecule: ribosomal RNA, 528 nt
Filed under: uncultured Chloroflexota bacterium
Lineage: Bacteria; Bacillati; Chloroflexota
Description: bacterial SSU rRNA
Rfam family: Bacterial small subunit ribosomal RNA
Source: RNAcentral